UUGGGAUAGUUGCAGUCAAUGAAAAGCAACUGGAAAGCGUGGAUCAUAACCAAAACGAAUUGGAUCUGUGAAAAAUAAGUAUGAGCUAUAUCGAGCUAGGUCGUUAUUAUAAAACAAGAAGAGAAUUGGGCCUGAAACCGAUCCUUGUGGAACACCACAGGUAACUGUCUGGGAAUGGGAUAAGUUUUCCGGGAGUUUAACUUUUUGAGUACGUUCUGACAGGUAUGAUAUGUCUGUAAAGCCAUACACUUCUAGUUUUUAUAGCAGAAUCUCAUAACAAAAUGUCCAGAAUGGAUAUAGAGUGAAAUAAGAAACUCAGAUAUUUUUCAAUUUAUAACUAAGACUAAUGACAAGAGAGAUAAAAACAUCGUAGUAGUUACAAAUGUAUGACUGAUUUCAAGAGCAUUCUCAGAAACCCCAAGUAAUUGUUAACGUGAAACAAGUUAGUCUAACAUAAUCAUUGCUUUUGUCUAUUUUUUUACUGGUCCUUCUUAGCUCGAAGGUUUUGAUGUGUAGCACUUUAAUUUUGGAAUAUUUCAUCCACCUUUACAAGGUUAAGAGACUUUUUGCUAUCAUUAGGAAUUGCCGUUGAAUUGAACUAUCCCGCAUAUAUAUGAAAGCUUGAGUCCCUCAGUCACUAAGCCUGGUUAUACUAUGGUUGAGACAUCUUUUAAUGCCUUAUUCACGUUACUUUCGAAUGUAUGCUUAGGCGAUCCUUUGAAUAGAAAGAGAAGUGGCCUAGGCAUCGAUCCUUGAGGAAUACCGAUAUCACAUAAUUUCGGCGAGAAUAAAUGAACAAACAGAAAAUAUUCAAAACGUCAAUGA
Molecule: long non-coding RNA, 825 nt
Filed under: Leptinotarsa decemlineata (Colorado potato beetle)
Lineage: Eukaryota; Metazoa; Arthropoda; Insecta; Coleoptera; Chrysomelidae
Description: uncharacterized LOC111504673, transcript variant X1
Source: RNAcentral